Molecule: long non-coding RNA, 784 nt
Organism: Olea europaea var. sylvestris
Lineage: Eukaryota; Viridiplantae; Streptophyta; Magnoliopsida; Lamiales; Oleaceae
Exons: 2
Source: RefSeq, a predicted model, not a curated record
CAGCUGCUGUGGAGGAGUAUAAAAUUAUGCAUUGGUAGCCACUUGGAGACCGAAAAAAAAAAAAAAAGGAAAAAAGAAAGAAAGAAAAAAAGAGGGGACUGCUUGCCGUUCGAGAAAAACAGACACGCACAUAAGCCAAGAAUAAUUUUGGAAUUAAUCACGUCUCGUCAUUCUUUGUAGGACCAUCCACGUUUGAGCAGUUUCAAAACUCUCUAGCAACACGGUCAGAUGCAACACUGCCACAUGCAUUGUCUGCCUCUCAUAUAGGUUUGUCGUCUUCUAGUUUUUCAAGUAUAUCAUCUUCUUUGUGGGUCUUAGAUUCGGAGGCUUCCUAUCAUAUCUCACCUAAUUUAGACUUCUUUGUUUCAUUAUCUCCCAAGUCUCCUGUGUCAAUUGUAACCACUGAUGGACACACAAUCUCAUAAGGUGAUUGGGACCGGCAAUAGGCAGGGGAGACUUUAUGUUUUGGAUAUGCUUGAAGUACUAGAAAUUGCAGCUUCUAGUGUUGAUUUGUCAUAUUUCCGUUUGAAUCAUUUAUUUUCUACCUUUUAUUUAUGGCAUUCUCAUCUUGGUCAUGUUUUAGUAUCUCGUUUAAAAUUCUUAGUUUCUACUGGGCAUUAGGUCAUUUGAAAAUAGAUGACAUUUCUAAUUGUAGUGGAUGUGUAUUAGCAAAAUUUCUUGCAUUGCCUUUUAAUAAAAAUACCUUUGUUUCUGUUGCUCCUUUUGAUCUCGUUCACUCUGAUAUAUGAAGACCUUCUCCCAUUACCACUAAAGGGGUUCAAGA